Molecule: ribosomal RNA, 203 nt
Filed under: uncultured Thiobacillus sp.
Lineage: Bacteria; Pseudomonadati; Pseudomonadota; Betaproteobacteria; Nitrosomonadales; Thiobacillaceae
Description: partial 16S ribosomal RNA
Rfam family: Bacterial small subunit ribosomal RNA
Source: RNAcentral
UGACGUCAAGUCCUCAUGGCCCUUAUGGGUAGGGCUUCACACGUCAUACAAUGGUCGGUACAGAGGGUUGCCAAGCCGCGAGGCGGAGCCAAUCCCACAAAGCCGAUCGUAGUCCGGAUUGUUCUCUGCAACUCGAGAGCAUGAAGUCGGAAUCGCUAGUAAUCGCAGGUCAGCAUACUGCGGUGAAUACGUUCCCGGGUCUU